GGCGCGGUGGCAGAGAGGCUAUGCAGCGGAUUGCAACUCCGUGUACACCAGUUCGACUCUGGUCCGUGCCUCCA
RNAcentral lists this transfer RNA (74 nucleotides) under Alphaproteobacteria bacterium. Its description in RNAcentral is "tRNA-Cys". It matches the Rfam family "tRNA". Rfam says of the family: Transfer RNA (tRNA) molecules are approximately 80 nucleotides in length. Their secondary structure includes four short double-helical elements and three loops (D, anti-codon, and T loops). RNAcentral also lists the same sequence under 1 other name. The record is from RNAcentral. Lineage: Bacteria; Pseudomonadati; Pseudomonadota; Alphaproteobacteria.